Ruditapes philippinarum (Manila clam) is the source of this 1716-nucleotide long non-coding RNA. RefSeq lists it as uncharacterized. The record is from RefSeq and is a predicted model, not a curated record. Lineage: Eukaryota; Metazoa; Mollusca; Bivalvia; Venerida; Veneridae. The transcript has 4 exons.
UUGACUGGAUAAAUAUUUGAAAUUUUCAGCAGGGAAUCAUCUUAUGAAGCAAGCUUACAUAAUUAAUACAGUGUACAUGUUUUACUUUGAACAGUGUAAAAAUGUUUGAAUAAAUGAUAAUUAUUAAGUUUGAAUUUAUCUUUAAUUGCGUAAAGAAACAAUCUUUCAAUUCAUUUUUCCAGGAGUUGUCCCCUCCAACAUUAACAGUCCACAUGUGAUGUGUCGAUCGGAGGAUAUUCCUUUGCUUGUUCAUUCCUCAAUAAACGGGCAAUUAGACGGAAUGGUGUUUCUUAAACCAGCUAAGGACUCCAUUGUUGUAUCAGGACAGACCUAUAAUGAAAAGAUGAAAAAGUGUGAAGUGAGUUAUGGAGGGAGUGUUCUUCAUUAUCAAACAAGAUUCAGAAAAUAAAGUGUCUGUUUGUGAGGAAGAAUAGUACGGAAUGAAUUGAGACAAAUGAAAUUGAGCAACAUAAAAAUGUGAACUAUUUAUAAUUACUUCUAUUGGAUCCGAAUAACAUUUAUCUAAGGAUUUUGGAUAAAAUUUUAUAUAUCUAUGGGAAAAUGAGUAAAAUAAUUAUGACAUAUUGAAACAUUCAUCGUGACUUACAUCAAUCAAUAGUUACAAUAAUAAUAAAGUUUACUAAACCAAUCAAUAUUUAUGAUUAAAAAAAUUUGUAUUACCUCUUCCAAAUUCAAAAAGGACAGUGUUCAAAUAAUGGCAAAUAUUUAUGUUUUUUAAUUUUUCUUUUAUGUAUAAUUGAUUGUUUUAAUUUUUUGUUAAAACUACCUCGAAAACAAAUUACCUCAAUCUAUUAAAUAUAGGAAAAUGAAUUAAGACAUAUUUUCAUGUCAUAUUUUUUCAGCAUUUACUUAAAUCUAAAACUAGAUUUACAUGAAUAUAUAUCCCGAUCUGCAUUUCAUCUGAAUGGUAUUUGAAUGAUUAAAUCUCUUCAAGACUACAAGACAUUUUUAUAUUUUUCACAAUGUGUAAUUUAAAUCAUUUUCUUGAUGCUUUGUUUAUUAGCUUGUUGUGAACGACAACAGUUCCGUGAAACGAAGCAGCAUCAAAAAGAAAAACAUGGUCUACUUCAACGCUGUAAACUUCAUUAUAAUGAUGUAAGCAGCUUGAUGAAGUUUGCAAUAAUUGUUUCAUAUUUUAGAAUUACUAUUCCUGUACAUGUAAACAAUGAAGUAACAUUUUAUUUGUCUGUCAAUACAAUGUUUUGAAUCUCAACAAACUAACAACAAGACAGAAAGAAAAUAAAGAAGAAAUGUUGAAUACAGCAUAACGAUAGACAUAAGCUCAAAAAAAACGAGAAAACAAAUGAAACCAACUUUUAAAUAAAUGCUAAUUUUCUCUACAACCUAUUUUCGUUCAAAAAUAAGAACAUAGUAUUUUUACUUAAACUUUUAUUUCAUACCAGAAUUUUACAAAAAUGUGAUGUGAAUACUAAUUAACUCUUUGAUCAAAGCUUAUCUAAAUGUUAAAACUGUGUUGCGAGAAAUGUAUAUGUAAAAUGGCAUGACCUACGUUUUGCACUAUAUAAUUUUCCUAAGAAUAUUGAUAUUUUUUUCUAUUUUUUUUUGUUUGAAUAUGAACGUUCAAUUUGUAUGUUUGUUAUCAUGUGUAAUGGAUAUGCCAAAAUACAGAUACCAUUUUAUCAAUUGUGAUAUAACUACGAUUUUGUAAUAUGCAUAAAUAAAAUUAAAGAUUUA